GUCUACGGCCAUACCACCCUGAACGCGCCCGAUCUCGUCUGAUCUCGGAAGCUAAGCAGGGUCGGGCCUGGUUAGUACUUGGAUGGGAGGAAUCCGGAUUUUGUAGCUU
This 109-nucleotide ribosomal RNA is filed under the name Neogale vison (American mink). The record is from RNAcentral. Lineage: Eukaryota; Metazoa; Chordata; Mammalia; Carnivora; Mustelidae.